UACGGAGGGGGCUAGCGUUGUUCGGAAUUACUGGGCGUAAAGGGCUUGUAGGCGGCCAACUAAGUCAUACGUGAAAUCCCUCGGCUUAACCGGGGAACUGCGUCUGAUACUGGAUGGCUUGAGAUUGGGAGAGGGAUGCGGAAUUCCAGGUGUAGCGGUGAAAUGCGUAGAUAUCUGGAGGAACACCGGUGGCGAAGGCGGCAUCCUGGACCAACACUGACGCUGAGGAGCGAAAGCCAGGGGAGCAAACGGG
RNAcentral lists this ribosomal RNA (253 nucleotides) under uncultured bacterium. RNAcentral describes it as "partial 16S ribosomal RNA". It matches the Rfam family "Bacterial small subunit ribosomal RNA", at positions 524 to 776 of the family's 1533-position model. The record is from RNAcentral.